UGAAGUAAGUAAGGGCGUACGGUGAAUGCCUUGGUGCCAACAGGCGAAGAAGGACGCGGCAAGCUGCGAAAAGCCUCGGGAAGCUGCAAGCAAGCGAUGAUCCGGGGAUAUCCGAAUGGGGUAACCUGAUCGAGGCAAUACUCGAUCGUUCAUACCUGAAUACAUAGGGUAUGAAACGCGAAACCCGCUGAAGUGAAACAUCUCAGUAAGCGGAGGAAAAGAAAGAGAAAUCGAUUCCGUAAGUAGUGGCGAGCGAAAGCGGAUGGAGCCCAAACCGAAGGUAUUCCUUCGGGGUUGUAGGACCACGACCUAUUCGACCAUACUGGAUAGUAGAACAGCCUGGAAAGGCUGGCCGUAGAAGGUGAAAGCCCUGUAGACGAAAUCCAGAGUGGGAAUUAGUGGUAUCCUGAGUAAUACAUCACACGUGGAACGAUGUAUGAAACCGCGCGGACCACCGCGCAAGGCUAAAUACUAGUUGGCGACCGAUAGUGAACAAGUACCGCGAGGGAAAGGUGAAAAGAACCGCUGUGAGCGGAGUGAAAUAGAACCUGAAACCGUAUGUCUACAAAGUGUCAGAGCAGAGCAAUCUGCGAUGGCGUGCCUUUUGUUUAAUGAGUCUGCGAGUCAGUGUUUGUGGCAAGACUAAGGGCUUCCGGCCCGGAGUCGCAGCGAAAGCAAGUCCGAACAGGGCGCAAUAAGUCGCAGGUACUGGACCCGAAGCGGAGGUGACCUACCCUUGGCCAGGUUGAAGCAUGGGUAAAACCAUGUGGAGGACCGAACAGGUGAACGUUGAAAAGUUCUCUGAUGAGCUGAGGGUAGGAGUGAAAGGCUAAUCAAACCCCGUGAUAGCUGGUUCUCUUCGAAAUGCAUUUAGGUGCAGCGUCACGUGCUGAUGCGCGGGGGUAGAGCACUGACAAGGCUAGGGGGCACACCCGCUUACCAAACCUUAUCAAACUCCGAAUACCGUGCAAUGGAACGUGGCAGUGAGACAGUGGGGGAUAAGCUUCAUUGUCGAGAGGGAAACAACCCAGACCAGCAGCUAAGGUGCCUAAAUAACGCUCAGUGGAAAGGAUGUGGGAUUACACAGACAGUGAGGAUGUUGGCUUAGAAGCAGCCACCAUUUAAAAAAUGCGUAAUAGCUUACUCAUCGAGUGAUCCUGCGCCGAAAAUGAUUGGCGAUCAAGCGUUAUACCGAAGCUCUGGACUUUGCCGCAAGGCAGAGUGGUAGAAGAGCGUUGCAUGCGCGUCGAAGGGUGAUGGCGACUGACCCUGGAGCACAUGCAAGUGAGUAUGCAGACAUGAGUAACGUUAAGCCGGGUGAAAUCCCCGGCCGCCGUAAACCCGAGGUUUCCAGGGCAACGUGUUUCGUCCCUGGGUUAGCCGGGACCUAAGCCGAGGCCGAGAGGCGUAGGCGAUGGACAUCAGGUUAAUAAUCCUGAGCUCGCGACCCUUAAACUGGGGGGACGCAUGAGAAAAGAUGACUAGGUUAUUGAAUUCCGAGUUGAGUCUACGGACUCAGCGCAUCAUUGGAUCGAGUGCCAAGAAAAGCCCCAGCGUAUGCUAAGCGACCCGUACCGCAAACCGACACAGGUGGGUGGGUAGAAUAUACCAAGGCGUAAGAGUGAAACCUGGUUAAGGAACUCGGCAAAUUAACCCCGUAACUUCGGAAGAAGGGGUGCCUGCAGCGAUGCAGGCCGCAGAGAAAUGGCCCAACCGACUGUUUAUCAAAAACACAGCACUCUGCAAAGACGCAAGUCGAAGUAUAGGGUGUGACACGUGACCAAUGCCGAAAGAUUAAGGCAAGGGGUUAGCCGCAAGGCGAAGCUCUGAACCCAAGUCCCGGUGAAUGUCGGCCGUAACUAUAACGGUCCUAAGGUAGCGAAAUUCCUUGUCGGGUAAGUUCCGACCUGCACGAAUCGUGAAACGAGUUGGGCACUGUCUCAACCAGGCGCUCAGUGAAAUUGUAGUGGCGGUGAAGAUGCCGCCUACCCGCAGAAGGACGGAAAGACCCUAUAGACCUUAACUGUAAGCUGUCAUUGUUUCUUCGGUUUUAAUGCUCAGAGUAAGUGGGAGACGCUGAAGACGCCCUUUAGGGGGCGUCCGAGUCAUCAAUGAGACACCACCCUUUGAAACUGGAGGAUCUAACCCUGAGCCGUGAAUCCGGCCAGAGGACCGUGUCAGCCGGUCAGUUUUACUGGGGCGGUAUCCUCCCAAAGAGUAACGGAGGAGCGCGAAGGUGGGCUCAGCCCGGUUGGCAACCGGGUGUCGAGUGCAUGGGCAUAAGCCCGCCUAACUGUGAGACCAACAAGUCGAGCAGAUGCGAAAGCAGGCCCAAGUGAUCCGGCGGUAGAAAGUGGAAUUGCCGUCGCUCAACGGAUAAAAGGUACCUUAGGGAUAACAGGCUGAUCACGCCCAAGAGUUCAUAUCGACGGCGUGGUUUGGCACCUCGAUGUCGGCUCGUCGCAUCCUGGGGCUGGAGCAGGUCCCAAGGGUUCGGCUGUUCGCCGAUUAAAGCGGCACGCGAGCUGGGUUCAGAACGUCGCGAGACAGUUCGGUCCUCUAUCCUCUGUGGGCGUUGGAAAAUUGAGGGGUUCAGACCUUAGUACGAGAGGACCGGGUCUGACGCACCACUGGUGCAUCGGUUGUACUGUCAAGUGCAUGGCCGAGUAGCUAAGUGCGGACGGGAUAAGCGCUGAAAGCAUCUAAGCGCCAAGCCCUUCCCAAGAUGAGUUUUCCCUACAGGUUCGUGGAAGACCACCACGUUGAUAGGUCGCAGGUGUAAGUGCAGCAAUGUAUUGAGCCAAGCGAUACUAAUUACCAAUUGACUUCAUCAU
RNAcentral lists this ribosomal RNA (2834 nucleotides) under human gut metagenome. Its description in RNAcentral is "bacterial LSU rRNA". It matches the Rfam family "Bacterial large subunit ribosomal RNA". The record is from RNAcentral.